Molecule: ribosomal RNA, 271 nt
Filed under: uncultured prokaryote
Description: partial 16S ribosomal RNA
Rfam family: Bacterial small subunit ribosomal RNA
Source: RNAcentral
UACGAAGGGUGCAAGCGUUAAUCGGAAUUACUGGGCGUAAAGGGUGCGUAGGCGGUCUGUUAAGUUGGAUGUGAAAGCCCCGGGCUCAACCUGGGAAUGGCAUCCAAAACUGGCAGGCUGGAGUGCGGUAGAGGAUGGUGGAAUUCCCGGUGUAGCGGUGAAAUGCGUAGAGAUAUGGAGGAACACCAGUGGCGAAGGCGGCUUCCUGGUCUGUAACUGACACUGAGGCGCGAAAGCGUGGGGAGCAAACAGGAUUAGAUACCCUGGUAGU